This 3597-nucleotide long non-coding RNA is filed under the name Mytilus galloprovincialis (Mediterranean mussel). Lineage: Eukaryota; Metazoa; Mollusca; Bivalvia; Mytilida; Mytilidae. The record is from RNAcentral.
GUUUAGGUAUGCAAAAUUAAUACGAUAUUUACUGGUGGUGUUAUCAAAUAUGAACUCGGCUGUGAGCAGAAAACUGUAAGUAAAUUUUGUAUUAUAUAAAACUGGACCAAUAUAACCAAUUGAUCAAGAUUGAUCAUCCAUAAUCUAUUAGAAAGAUUAUUCAAUUCUUACAAUUUCUUUGUCGAAUAGAAAAGUAGCAUCCCCUUGUCUAUAAAUGACUGAAGAACGUGCAUGUCUUGAAUAUUGCUGUUCAUAUUAGUGACGUAAAACUUUACAAAAAAAAAUACACAUUCAACUUUUAACUAUGAGGUGUCUAUAAUCAAUAAAAAACAAAGACAGACACCAACAAAAAAUAGCUGGAAUACAUGUGUAUAUGGAAGAUGAUGAUUGUUAUGCGUUGAUAUAUGAAGAACUGUCUAAGAAAAGAGAAAUUGUGAUACUAAAAUUAAGUUCCAAGUAAGUUAUACUUAAGGCUAUUUUAUUCAAUUAUCUAGGAUGUGCUUGAUUACAAGUCAUAUUGGAAAGAAUUGUGAUUCUAUAUUUCAAACAAUCAAAUUAGAUGAAAUAAAUUGAAUAAAAAAUACAGUGUUUUGUCUGACCCAACAUUAUUUCUUUUUAGUCGUUCAUUACAACGAUCACAAAUGAAAAGCAUUUAUUAGUUGAAUAGCUAUUUAGUUGUUAAAUUAAAUCACGCUUACCAUUACCGUGAUGAUAUGUUUGCGUUAACUGAUUAAUGUUCAUGAUUAAAAAUUUAGUUGACCAUAUCAUGCUGUAAUUUGAUCAAACUAUUUUUACUUUUUUUAUUUUUGACUUUGGAUUGUAUAAUUUUUGACAGGUAACCUACUCUUAGGUAGGACAUGCUGGUACUCGAUUCCAUAAACAACCGCCAGAAGUAAAAUAAAGAACAUAAUCGGUACAAUUUUUAGGGAAAGUUAAUUUAUUUUCCGAAUGUUCUGUCGUGUAUAGAAAACAUAAAACAGUAAAUGUUUUUCAGGAAAUUUGUACAGAUUUAAAGCUUUUUUUACGUUGCUCUUACCUGAACGAGUACCAGCAUGUUCAACUAACAGAGAAGGCAACCUGUUAAAAAAUACACUUCCGGAUUCAAAGGUCGAUGUUAUGGAACUUGUCUAUUGCUAAUUUGAAUUAGGAGUUAUAUGACAUUUACAACAUUUGUUAUACUCCUACUCCACAUUAACAUGUCAACAGCAAGGGAUAUUGAAUGAGGGCGUUGAAGACUUGUUUUUCAUUAUUUCGUAUCUUCGAUUUUACACAAUCAUAUCAUGUACAAACUUAAUGAUUAUUUAGAAAUGGUCUGAUUGAUAUAUCAAGUUGCAAUUCGAUACAAUAAAAGACAUAAAUAUGUCUUUUCAUAUAAAUAAGUGUAAACUAAUUUAUAACACAUUUCUAUUGAUGGAUUGUUUAAAUAAGCAGUGUUUGCGUAUAUUUAGAUGACAAAGCCAACUUUAUAUACGAUAAUCCUGUAAACAACCUAUUUUUUUGAAAAUAUUGCACAAGAUGCAUGAAAAACAAAAUAAAACCAGAGAGGCAGACGUCACUACACAGUGCAGUUAAAGCAUUUUUGGGAUCUAGAAGAUAUUAUACGUGAUUUUUUUUUUUAUAAAAGAAGAAAGAUAAAUCAUAUAAUGAUACGAUAUUUUUUACACAUUACCUUUGUACCAUGCAAAACAAAAUCAAAGACACGGUUUAUCUAAAAGUUCAUGAUAUGUUUCAGGUUUGCGAUGCUCUGUUAAAGGAGUACAAAAGCGUUCACAAUACUGGCACUGGUAAAAGAGCAGAUCAUGGAGAUCUUGUCCUCUGUUCGGCAUGCUGUGACGGCAUUGGAUGUAACAAAGAUCAAUGUAGUAACGUUAGAAAAAGUAUGCUCGCCAAAUCAAACUUUUGAAAUAAGUAAAAAUAUUUUAAAAACAGUCGAACAAGAGGAAGCUUAAGUUUCUUCCUGUUGUAAAAAGUAAAAUCACAAAAAUACUGAACUUAGAGGAAAAUCAAUUCGGAAAGUCCAUAAAUAAAGGCAACAGUAGUAUACCGCUGUUCAAACUCAUAAAGACAUGGCAAAAUUUAAAUACAAAACGCAUCAAAAACGAAUAGAUAAGAACUGUCAUAUUCCUGACUUAGUACAGGCAUUUUCAAAUGUAGAAAAUGGUGGAUUAAACCUGGUUUAAAAUACACUAAUAAAUACACUACUUCAGUUUGUCUUCGUUGUGCUCAAUGGUAUCUAGGAAUAACUAGCGGUUUAAGGUUCAUUUUGUUUUUUAAUUUGGAGUAUGCCAGAGUUUACAACCAAAUUAAACGCAUAUGACUUUAGACGGCCAUGAUUGCACGAUAUACGCUCUUUUUACCUUUAUUUAUUGUAUGAUAUAUUUGAAUGUCAAAAGUUGUUAUUUUCUAGCACAUUUGUAAAGUAAACAGUUUACUUGUUUCGACACUUUGCUUCUAUUAUAAACUAUGCAUUUUGUGUGUCAGAUUGCACUCAGACAACAUGUAUUUGUGUUAAAAUGCUCUCUCUGCAUGUUAUGUGGCAAGUCUCUGAAGAAGAACUAAUAAAGCUAAGCUUAGAUUCUUUUUUUUUUUUUAAUUUAUUCAUCAGCCUAUCAACAUUUUGGCCUCAAUCAUACAAAAUGGGACAAUAAUGUUGCAAUGCUUAUCUUGUUCAGUUAAAAUGGCAACGGUAACGUUAUGCUUUUUAAUGAAAUCGUUUUUCCGUAAAUACAUGUAAGUCUUUUUAAGACGAAACACGCGUCUAACAUGUAGUUACCUUUGAUAACUAUUUAUUUACUAAAGUAUAAGCCUUUCAAAUAAUACAGCAUUUCUGCGAAACCGAUGCCGUAUAGUCAGUAUAUGUACUAUGUAUUAUGUCAUUGACAUGAUACAAUGGGAAACAAUUUUUGAAAAAUCAAUAGAUGAUUAACAAAUAUGAUGGAAAGUAAUUAACGAAUACAUUACAACCUACUGCUUUUGGGCAGAUAUCAGUAUUAACUGGUGUUUCAAAUUUGCUUGAUUCAAGAUAUCGGUUCGAAGCGAAGCAAAACAGCACACAGAAACAAUACACAUUGAACCAUUACAUUUGUACUCGCGAAAACCAAAAAUUGAAUUUCAAUGUAAGAUAGCUAUGUGUAUUUUUGUUUCUUUAUACAUGUUAAUAGUCCGCUUUCAAUUUCUCAUUGAAGAUAUAACAUAUUCUAGUGAUUGACGCAAGAAACAUAAUUUGUUCCAACUUAUAAACAAACAGAUUUUACCAAAUUUAACAAAAUCAAUACUCUCUAUUACCUUUAUUCUUCGACAUGAGAGACACAAUUAUGUUUACCAAAAAAGACACAAAAACAACGGACAUAUGUAAUGCAUAUUUUUAGUAAAGCUGCUUUUAUUAUUUUCUAGCUCAACCAUGCUUCAACUCUGCGAUUUGUGGAUGACUAAAGAAAUAGCAGUUGUUAUCAUACAACAUGUUUAAGAUAGAAAAUAAAUAUACAAUUUACAUUACAAGUGUGUAUACAUUUAUCAAAACGAAACUUACGAUAUUUAAAUAUGUCAUACAUAUAUAUGAAAACAAAUAAUAAUAAAAAGUAAACAUACCCGUCAUAA